UGAUGUGUGUGUGUGUGUGUGUGUGUGUGUGUGUGUGUGUGUGUGUGUGUGUGUGUAUGUGUGUGUUUGUCUGUGUUUGUGUGUGUGUGUGAGAUGCUGAUGAUUGAUGAGUGUAUUAUUGAAUUGUUAGUGAGAUGCUGAUGAUUGAUGAGUGUAUUAUUUGUCAGGAGCUAUAUGGGAUAUAUAAAGUGUGUUAUGAUGUUAUGAGGUUAUGAGGUGUGUUAUGAUGUUAUGAGGCUAUGAGGUGUGUUAAGAUGUUAUGAGGUUAUGAGGUGUGUUAUGAUGUUACGAGGUUAUGAAGUGUGUUGUGAGGUUAUGAGGUUAUGAGGUGUGUUAUGAGGUUAUGAGGUUAUGAGGUGUGUUAUGAUGUUAUGAUGUGUGUUAUGAUGUUAUGAGGUGUGUUAUGAGGUGUGUUAUGAUGUUAUGAGGUGUGUUAUGAGGUUAUGAGGUGUGUUAUAAUGUUAUGAGGUGUGUUAUAAUGUUAUGAGGUUAUGAUGUUAUGAGGUUAUGAGGUUAUGAUGUUAUGAGGUGUGUUAUGAGGUUAUGAGGUGUGUUAUGAGGUUAUGAGUUGUGUUAUGAUGUUAUGAUGUUAUGAGGUUAUGGGGUUAUGGGG
This is a long non-coding RNA of Clupea harengus (Atlantic herring), 613 nucleotides long. The record is from Ensembl. Lineage: Eukaryota; Metazoa; Chordata; Actinopteri; Clupeiformes; Clupeidae.